Long non-coding RNA from Pseudophryne corroboree (corroboree frog), 2162 nucleotides. RefSeq lists it as uncharacterized. The transcript is spliced from 4 exons. The record is from RefSeq and is a predicted model, not a curated record. Lineage: Eukaryota; Metazoa; Chordata; Amphibia; Anura; Myobatrachidae.
GCACAGCCUCAUUAUACGUAUGUGGAGGCUGGGCUGACUGAACUGUAGGGGGAGCUGCAGAGUCACUUCACCCUGCCAGCUCCUCUCAGGCAGUUCCCAUGGGCCUUUGAGAGUUCAGAGGUCGGGUGAGGAAGUGUUUCUGCAGCAGGUCCGUGUCUGGCAUGCUGGAGGGGGGAUGGCUGAUCGGAGAACUCGGACAGACAGCUCCAGUGAUGAGGAGGGCACAGCUGCGGGCAGCCAGAAAACAAAGAGCCUUAUGUACACCUGGUGCGGAGGUGCAGCCCUGCCCCACCCCCAACCCGAUCGCAGGCCACGCCCAUGUUCCCCUGGACUACGCGGAGAACACCAGAGGAGCGGAACCCAUAACUUCUACUGAGGCCGUCCUGUGUGAGCUUGCAUGGAAGGAGCAACGGUGGCUGGGACCCGGGAGCUGCAUUAGAGGAGCGUUGCCAUGGUUACGCGGCCCACGGAAUAAUGAUACGUCACUUCCGUCCUAGACUUCAUACACAGCACACUGGACAGGAAGUGCGGCUGGCGUGGCCGCGGCGGACGCUGGCUGGGAAAAUCAGAAGAGGAGGGGGAUAUGUCCCUGGAUCGAGACAUAGACUUCAUCACCGGCCUACUAGACAUGUACCGUAGCCAUGAAUGUCUAAGGAAGGUCAAAGCGAAGGGCUAUUCAAAUAAAGUGCGGUUGAAUGUAGCUAGUGAAUUACAGCAGGCCCCAGUGCUGACAAGGACUGGGUUAAGAAAAAGAUCUAGAACCUGCGUACUGUGUUCCUCAAAGAACACAAAAAAAUGGAGCCUACCCGGACAGGUUUUACCUCCCUCCCUCGGACCGCCACACCAGAGCCUGAAGAGGAUGAACUAUCUCUGUCGGCAUCUGUAAGUAUAUUUUUUAGAAUAAGUUUUUCAAAGGUUCACUAAAGUUCCAUCAGUCCAACACAGUCCACUUAAAUGUGGUCCUCCUGCCAAUCGACUGCACCCACCUCGUUAAAAUGGGCCAGGUAAUCGUCCCUGACCUGUUUUGCCCGUAGACUCACCCUAGAAUGGAGUUGAGGUGGUUCCACAGAGGGAAACAGUGAAGUCUCCUCUGGGUGAUCUGUGUCUGGGUCUCCUGGUGCUGCUCUGGGCAGUGUCCUAUGCUGGGUGUUUUUUCUGCGCAAAUAGUUAUGCAGGACACAGCACGCAGUCACCACCCAAUUUAUCUUCUCCACCUGCAAGUUGAAGCCGUUAGGACUAUCCGGAAGUGGGUAGACAGGAUGCCAAAAGUAUUCUCUACAAUUCGGCGUGCCCUGGAUAGCCUAUAAUUGUAGAUCCGCGUCUCCCUUGUCAGGUGCCUUUGGGGGUACAGCUUUAUAAUAUUCUCGUGGAGUGCAAAUGCCUCAUCAGCCACAAAAAUAAAUUGAGGCCGUGCUCGAUUUGCUCCCUAGAUGACAAGUUCAGGGUCUUUGUGGUGAGCCGCUCGUGGAAGGUGUAUUCUUCAGCGAGCAACCAUCUGAUGCACGUUCGUUUUUGCCAACGUCAUUCACCACUGCUAUCAUCACGAUGCUGAAAUACCCUUUAUAAUUAAAAUAAAGGGAUCCGCUGUUUGUAGGAGGGUUGAUGCGGACGUGCUUACCAUCUAUCGCUCCCCCAUAGUUACUACUACAUGACAAUGUUAUACUGUUUGACCGCCUUCCUGUCACUGCUCCUCCCACCCAACCCCAAAUUAUUCCGCCGACCCAACCCCAUCUUACUCCGCCCACCCAACCACAUCUUAGGCCACCCACCCAGCCAUAGCCUAUCCCGCCCACCCAACCCCAGCCUACUCCCCCACCCACCUGCUCCUCAGCCAUAUAGUCUGCUAUGCUGGAGGCAGAGGAGGACGUGCCCCAGUUUGAAUUUUUGUAGGCAUCUUAUAAUUCCCAAUAAAUAUGGUGCGGUAUAGGCUAUAUGGUGUUUUGGGGGCAGAUUUUUGGAGGAGGAUACACGCAUGCUGUAGGUGCAUAAUAAUAGGGCCGGGCCCAUUCAUUCUGCACUUUACAGCAUGUGUGUAUUCUCCCAAUCAAAUCUGUGCCAAAACCCCAUAUAGCCCUCUAUCUUAAAGUACUGCACCAUAUUUAUUGGGAAUUAAAAGUAAAACAAACUGUUAUUUAAUCAUUUUUAUCUAUUUUAUAACAUAU